RNAcentral lists this ribosomal RNA (492 nucleotides) under Stenotrophomonas sp. EE5. Its description in RNAcentral is "bacterial SSU rRNA". It matches the Rfam family "Bacterial small subunit ribosomal RNA", at positions 90 to 575 of the family's 1533-position model. The record is from RNAcentral. Lineage: Bacteria; Pseudomonadati; Pseudomonadota; Gammaproteobacteria; Lysobacterales; Lysobacteraceae.
GGCGAGGGGCGGACGGGUGAGGAAUACAUCGGAAUCUACUUUUUCGUGGGGGGAUAACGUAGGGAAACUUACGCUAAUACCGCAUACGACCUACGGGUGAAAGCAGGGGAUCUUCGGACCUUGCGCGAUUGAAUGAGCCGAUGUCGGAUUAGCUAGUUGGCGGGGUAAAGGCCCACCAAGGCGACGAUCCGUAGCUGGUCUGAGAGGAUGAUCAGCCACACUGGAACUGAGACACGGUCCAGACUCCUACGGGAGGCAGCAGUGGGGAAUAUUGGACAAUGGGCGCAAGCCUGAUCCAGCCAUACCGCGUGGGUGAAGAAGGCCUUCGGGUUGUAAAGCCCUUUUGUUGGGAAAGAAAUCCAGCUGGCUAAUACCCGGUUGGGAUGACGGUACCCAAAGAAUAGGCACCGGCUAACUUCGUGCCAGCAGGCGCGGUAAUACGAAGGGUGCAAGCGUUACUCGGAAUUACUGGGGCGUAAAGCCGUCCGUAGG